RNAcentral lists this ribosomal RNA (440 nucleotides) under uncultured bacterium. Its description in RNAcentral is "partial 16S ribosomal RNA". It matches the Rfam family "Bacterial small subunit ribosomal RNA", at positions 338 to 795 of the family's 1533-position model. The record is from RNAcentral.
CCUACGGGCGGCAGCAGUGGGGAAUAUUGCACAAUGGGGGAAACCCUGAUGCAGCGACGCCGCGUGAGUGAAGAAGUAUUUCGGUAUGUAAAGCUCUAUCAGCAGGGAAGAAAAUGACGGUACCUGACUAAGAAGCCCCGGCUAACUACGUGCCAGCAGCCGCGGUAAUACGUAGGGGGCAAGCGUUAUCCGGAUUUACUGGGUGUAAAGGGAGCGCAGACGGCCAUGCAAGCCAGAAGUGAAAGCCCGGGGCCCAACCCCGGGACUGCAUUUGGAACUGUAAGGCUAGAGUGCAGGAGGGGCAGGCGGAAGUCCUAGUGUAGCGGUGAAAUGCGUAGAUAUUAGGAGGAACACCAGUGGCGAAGGCGGCCUGCUGGACGGUGACUGACGUUGAGGCUCGAAGGCGUGGGGAGCAAACAGGAUUAGAUACCCGGGUAGUC